This 171-nucleotide transfer-messenger RNA is filed under the name Rhodoferax sp. RNAcentral describes it as "partial transfer-messenger RNA". It matches the Rfam family "transfer-messenger RNA", at positions 1 to 185 of the family's 374-position model. From Rfam's summary of the family: Bacterial tmRNA, also known as 10Sa RNA or SsrA, is named for its dual tRNA and mRNA-like properties. Its role is to liberate the mRNA from a stalled ribosome. The record is from RNAcentral. Lineage: Bacteria; Pseudomonadati; Pseudomonadota; Betaproteobacteria; Burkholderiales; Comamonadaceae.
GGGGCUGCACUGGUUUCGACGUGGAUUCGGACGCGCAGCAGGGCAUGUCGAGCUGAAUGCGCUCGUAAAACAGAUUCAAAAAAACUAACUGCAAACGACGAACGUUUCGCACUCGCUGCUUAAUCGCACGUGAGCCUCACAACAGUCAGCCGAUCGGCUGGGCAAGGGGAG